GAUGAACGCUGGCGGCGUGCCUAAUACAUGCAAGUCGAGCGAACAGACGAGGAGCUUGCUCCUCUGACGUUAGCGGUGGACGGGUGAGUAACACGUGGAUAACCUACCUAUAAGACUGGGAUAACUUCGGGAAACCGGAGCUAAUACCGGAUAACAUGUUGAACCGCAUGGUUCAACAAUGAAAGACGGUCUUGCUGUCACUUAUAGAUUGAUCCGCGCCGCAUUAGCUAGUUGGUAAGGUAACGGCUUACCAAGGCAACGAUGCGUAGCCGACCUGAGAGGGUGAUCGGCCACACUGGAACUGAGACACGGUCCAGACUCCUACGGGAGGCAGCAGUAGGGAAUCUUCCGCAAUGGGCGAAAGCCUGACGGAGCAACGCCGCGUGAGUGAAGAAGGUCUUCGGAUCGUAAAACUCUGUUAUUAGGGAAGAACAAAUGUGUAAGUAACUAUGCACGUCUUGACGGUACCUAAUCAGAAAGCCACGGCUAACUACGUG
RNAcentral lists this ribosomal RNA (497 nucleotides) under uncultured bacterium. RNAcentral describes it as "partial 16S ribosomal RNA". It matches the Rfam family "Bacterial small subunit ribosomal RNA", at positions 28 to 507 of the family's 1533-position model. The record is from RNAcentral.